UGAUGAAACUCUGGAAAGGCCGCUAAGUCGGAACCGAAGGAGAAAGGCUUUUUGCCAAAACUUUCAGGUAAAAAUACAGAGGUUAUGAA
Molecule: non-coding RNA, 89 nt
Filed under: Caloramator quimbayensis
Lineage: Bacteria; Bacillati; Bacillota; Clostridia; Eubacteriales; Clostridiaceae
Description: Glycine sequence
Rfam family: Glycine riboswitch aptamer
About the family: This family represents the bacterial glycine riboswitch. Glycine riboswitches usually consist of two metabolite-binding aptamers domains with similar structures in tandem.
Source: RNAcentral